RNAcentral lists this long non-coding RNA (1432 nucleotides) under Homo sapiens (human). RNAcentral's name for it is "HSALNT0343867". The record is from RNAcentral. Lineage: Eukaryota; Metazoa; Chordata; Mammalia; Primates; Hominidae.
CCCGAAUAGCUGGGACUACAGGCGCCCACCACCACGCCCGGCUAAUUUUUUGUAUUUUUAGUAGAGACGGGGUUUCACCGUGUUAGCCAGGAUGGUCUCCAUCUCCUGACCUCGUGAUCUGCCCGCCUCGGCCUCCCAAAGUGCUGGGAUUACAGGCAUGAGCCACUGCGCCCGGCCGUACUUCCUUUUUUAAACUAGACUUUUGCUAACCCAAAUGAUUCUUUUUUUUUCUUUUUUGAGAUGGAGUCUCACUCUGUUGCCCAGGCUGAAGUGCAGUGGAAUGAUCUCGGCUCACUGCAACCUCUGCCUCCCAGGUUCAAGCGAUUCUCCUGCUUCAGCCUCCUGAGUAGCUGGGAUUACAGGUUUAUUUGCAAGAUGGGUUUGAGGGAAUUAAGGAUAAAGUCUGCUGAAAGUAGCACCAGCCUCUGGAUUAAAAGGGAUGUUUGGAUGAAGCUUCAAUCUCAAGAAGAGGCAAGAGAAAACUAAAGAAAAAGCUGCUUGGUGCUGCGGUGUGCCCUAUCCUGGCUGCAUUUCUUCAUUCCCUCCCCUGCCCACAUACAUCCACAGCCCCAGUCGGCUGUAUCCAUGAAGAGCUGAAUGGAACAGGAUGACUGGCAGCCCACGCCAAAGGCCAAGAGAUGUGAAGGUAGAAGCAAGAAGUUAGAAUGACCUGAGGAAGAGGUCACAAGCCCAGGAAUGCCAGCAGCCACUAAAAGCUGAAAAAAGGCAAGGAAAUGAGUUUUCCUCUGAAGCUGCCAGAAGGAACAAGCCCAGCCAAUGCCUUGACCCUAGCCCAGUAAAAUUGAUUUUGAACUUCCGACUUCCAGAACUGUGAGAGAAUACAUUUACGUUGUUUUAAGCCACAAAUAUGUGGCAAUUUGUUACAGCAGCAAUGGGAAACUAACACAGAUUCUAAUCUCUUUUCUUACUCCCAUCCCAGGUUGCCCUGGGGUUAAUUCAUGAUUAAAGAUCCUCCAGCUUUGUUCUCUAUACUUUCUCUUGUCUUCUUGAGUCUGAUCUCCUUCUUGCUCUCCAAGUGCUUCCCCCACUGCACAUCAACAAGAACAUUUCUGCUUCUUACCUGUCUCUGUCCCCUGCUCUAACCCAUGAGGAGUCAGAAGCAGUCUAGUGGGGGCCAGGCAGGGGAGGGAGGUGAGGAAGCUAGGAAGGUUAGAGAAGAGAGAAGAAGCCAACAUUCCCCACUUUAAGCUUUUGGGGUUGGGAGUCAGAAGAAGCUUUAUCUUAAAACAAGGUUUAGAGGUUUGAUUUUACCUUGGGCUGGAUAUUUUUAAGACUGCAGUGAGAAUGUUUUGGGGACUUAAGGCGAAUGAAAACGUUUUGAUUUUUUGGGAGGAACUAGAACAUUCAUGCUACUUGUUAUGGAUUUAGUCCAAGGCACAGAGAAGGACUAGCCCCAUAGUGCAGGUUUGAG